AGGAAUCUACCUUGUAGUGGGGGAUAACCUGGGGAAACUCGGGCUAAUACCGCAUAAUCUCUUUGGAGCAAAGCGGGGGAUCUUCGGACCUCGUGCUAUAAGAUGAGCCUACGUCGGAUUAGCUUGUUGGUGGGGUAAUGGCCUACCAAGGCGACGAUCCGUAGCUGGUCUGAGAGGACGAUCAGCCACACUGGGACUGAGACACGGCCCAGACUCCUACGGGAGGCAGCAGUGGGGAAUAUUGGACAAUGGGGGAAACCCUGAUCCAGCAAUGCCGCGUGUGUGAAGAAGGCCUUCGGGUUGUAAAGCACUUUCGGUGGGGAAGAAAUUCUCAAGGGUAAUAUCCUUGGGCGUUGACGUUACCCACAGAAGAAGCACUGGCUAACUCUGUGCCAGCAGCCGCGGUAAUACAGAGAGUGCAAGCGUUAAUCGGAAUCACUGGGCGUAAAGCGCGCGUAGGUGGAUAUUUAAGUCGGAUGUGAAAGCCCUGGGCUUAACCUGGGAAUUGCACCCGAUACUGGGUAUCUUGAGUAUGGUAGAGGGAAGUGGAAUUUCCGGUG
Molecule: ribosomal RNA, 560 nt
Filed under: Coxiella burnetii
Lineage: Bacteria; Pseudomonadati; Pseudomonadota; Gammaproteobacteria; Legionellales; Coxiellaceae
Description: bacterial SSU rRNA
Rfam family: Bacterial small subunit ribosomal RNA
Source: RNAcentral